AACGAACGCUGGCGGCAUGCCUAACACAUGCAAGUCGAACGGGAUCCGGGGCUUCGGCCCCGGUGAGAGUGGCGGACGGGUGAGUAACGCGUGGGAACCUGCCCAGUGGUGGGGAAUAAC
This 120-nucleotide ribosomal RNA is filed under the name uncultured bacterium. RNAcentral describes it as "partial 16S ribosomal RNA". It matches the Rfam family "Bacterial small subunit ribosomal RNA", at positions 29 to 147 of the family's 1533-position model. The record is from RNAcentral.